This 468-nucleotide ribosomal RNA is filed under the name uncultured bacterium. RNAcentral's name for it is "partial 16S ribosomal RNA". It matches the Rfam family "Bacterial small subunit ribosomal RNA", at positions 28 to 507 of the family's 1533-position model. The record is from RNAcentral.
GACGAACGCUGGCGGCGUGCUUAACACAUGCAAGUCGAACGGAAAGGCCCUGCUUUUGUGGGGUGCUCGAGUGGCGAACGGGUGAGUAACACGUGAGUAACCUGCCCUUGACUUUGGGAUAACUCCAGGAAACUGGGGCUAAUACCGGAUAGGAGCUCCUGCUGCAUGGUGGGGGUUGGAAAGUUUCGGCGGUUGGGGAUGGACUCGCGGCUUAUCAGCUUGUUGGUGGGGUAGUGGCUUACCAAGGCUUUGACGGGUAGCCGGCCUGAGAGGGUGACCGGCCACAUUGGGCCUGAGAUACGGCCCAGACUCCUACGGGAGGCAGCAGUGGGGAAUAUUGCACAAUGGGCGGAAGCCUGAUGCAGCAACGCCGCGUGCGGGAUGACGGCCUUCGGGUUGUAAACCGCUUUCGCCUGUGACGAAGCGUGAGUGACGGUAAUGGGUAAAGAAGCACCGGCUAACUACGUG